Panthera uncia (snow leopard) is the source of this 726-nucleotide long non-coding RNA. RefSeq lists it as uncharacterized. Lineage: Eukaryota; Metazoa; Chordata; Mammalia; Carnivora; Felidae. The record is from RefSeq and is a predicted model, not a curated record. The transcript has 3 exons.
UAAAGGAGGAGGAACAAGCGCGGCUUCAGCCUUUCGUGGGUACAGUUGCGCCGAGCGUCUCGGGGGCGCCGUCUGGGCGGGAGCCGGGGCUUCGGAGCCGUCACGUUUCCAGGACCGCCCGCGCCUGCUGCUGAUAGAAUGAGCUCCUUGUGUGAAGGCUGUGAUUAUCCGGGAUGUGUUUGCAGGAUGGUGGGAGACUUACUGCAUGGACCCUGAAGCAGGGGGGCCCAGACCAGGUGGAUCUGGGCCUGGUGGGCUGUGAGGCCUGCAGGUGGAGAGAUGACCUUCAUCUGUGCGGCGUCGCGGCAGGAGCCACCAUCAGAGAGGCUGCGCGACGCCCAGAAAAGCAAAAUUGAGUCUGAAAGGCAAGUAAAACUCAAAGGCUGUUUUUUCCCUUCUCCAUCUUCCGUUGCAAAGUCAGAAUUUUGAGCACUCUAAGUUGCUAAGUUUGUGUUCUGUAUGUAGGAGCAAAGAGAUUUUUUCAAAUUUAUUUCUUUUGAGAGAAGGUGUCCAAAGGAGAGGGGCAGAGACACAGAAUACCAUGCAGGGUCUGUUAUGUGGUUGCAGAGUCCAAGGUGGGGCUUGAACUCGCCGACUUUGAGGUCAGGACCUGAGCCAGAUCUGGGGUUAGGUGCUUAACAGACUGAGCCCUACAGGCGCCCCACAGAGACUUCCCUUGAAGGCAAUGCAUAAAUCCAACCACCUGCAAGGCGCGAGUGAGGAAUU